GGGGGUGUUCCGGAUUCGACUGGCAUGGUAAGAUUUAGGUAGCAUGUCGAGGAUGAUCGUUGGCCUCGUUAAUCAUCGGUUAAAAAUAUAUUUGCGAAAUCUGAUUUUGCAAUGGCCGCUUAAUAGCGCCACGUGUUUACCCUGAUUGGGUGCUAAGGGAUAAAUGCGUCAGGAACACCCUGGCAAACGAAAUUGAUUACGAGUUAGUUUGCGAGAUAAAAAUCGUGAUUAGUCCGAAGAGUCGCCCGGCCGGGUGGCAAACUUGGAGGACGAAAAGCAAUAAGACCUGGAUAAACAUGUAGAAGCUUAAGUUAUACGGUGUCAACACGGGAGUUCAAAUCUCCCCACCUCCACCA
This 356-nucleotide transfer-messenger RNA is filed under the name Victivallaceae. RNAcentral's name for it is "CAAGED01 sp900768505 Standard tmRNA". It matches the Rfam family "transfer-messenger RNA". From Rfam's summary of the family: Bacterial tmRNA, also known as 10Sa RNA or SsrA, is named for its dual tRNA and mRNA-like properties. Lineage: Bacteria; Pseudomonadati; Lentisphaerota; Lentisphaeria; Victivallales. RNAcentral also lists the same sequence under 2 other names. The record is from RNAcentral.